CUGGUUUCGACAGGGUAGGUCUGAGGUGGGCAGCAGGCCGUGGUCUCCUCGCCACGUUAAUCAGGGGUACCGUCAAAUUUAAUUGACAACGAUUCUUAUCAGGGCAACCUUGCCCUCGCUGCUUAAUUAAUUAGCGGCCGUCAAGGCGAGGGCUUCUCCCGCUCUCGCGGCGACGUCAUCUGAGGGAGAUGCUCCGACGGAUGUGGUUGGUAUGCCGUUGGCUAAGACCAAACCAGCUGGGAUCCUGAGCGUACGCCGUUGGACGCGACGGAUCCGAGAUCUAACCAGCGGAUAAGCCUGUAGACACCUGCCAGGGAUCUAUUUUGGACCGGAGUUCGAUUCUCCG
RNAcentral lists this transfer-messenger RNA (346 nucleotides) under Streptococcus pneumoniae. It matches the Rfam family "transfer-messenger RNA". From Rfam's summary of the family: Bacterial tmRNA, also known as 10Sa RNA or SsrA, is named for its dual tRNA and mRNA-like properties. The record is from RNAcentral. Lineage: Bacteria; Bacillati; Bacillota; Bacilli; Lactobacillales; Streptococcaceae.